Non-coding RNA from Myotis davidii, 75 nucleotides. Lineage: Eukaryota; Metazoa; Chordata; Mammalia; Chiroptera; Vespertilionidae. The record is from Rfam.
GGCAGUUCUUGGGUGACACACGCCGGAAUCAGGCUCCCUCCUCUCUGGUUCUAGGUGCAUCACCUGAGAAUCACA